UACGGAGGGUGCAAGCCUUGAUCGGAAUUACUGGGCGUAAAGGGCGCGUAGGCGGUUUAAUAAGUCGGAUGUGAAAUUCCGGGGCUCAACCCCGGAGCUGCAUUUGAAACUGUUAAACUAGAGUACAGUUAGGGUAAACGGAAUUCCACGUGUAGCGGUGAAAUGCGUAGAUAUGUGGAAGAACACCGGUGGUGAAGACGGUUUACUGGGCUGUAACUGACGCUGAGGCGCGAAAGCAUGGGGAGCAAACAGG
This 253-nucleotide ribosomal RNA is filed under the name uncultured bacterium. RNAcentral's name for it is "partial 16S ribosomal RNA". It matches the Rfam family "Bacterial small subunit ribosomal RNA", at positions 524 to 776 of the family's 1533-position model. The record is from RNAcentral.